Molecule: long non-coding RNA, 740 nt
Filed under: Heterocephalus glaber (naked mole-rat)
Lineage: Eukaryota; Metazoa; Chordata; Mammalia; Rodentia; Bathyergidae
Description: lncRNA (ENSHGLG00000029415.2)
Source: RNAcentral
GGAGUGCACAUAUACCUCUUUUGGAUCCUGAUUUCAGUUGCUUUGACUCCACAUGCAGAAGUGAGAAUGCUGCAUGAGUCUAAGUAUUAAACCAGUUUUACUGAUGGAGAAAAUGAGGCCUAGAGCUGUGAUUUGCUGGGGGAGCCAGAACAAGGAAAAGCUUGGGGUCCCAGAAAACACAGAUUCAUCCCAGAGGCAAAGGCUUAAUCACACCAGAGUUACAACAAUAGAUUCAUCUGCUGAUGGACAUACUGGAUGUGCUACUUCUAAAGUUGAGCAAUCGUGAAUUGUGCUGCUAUAAACGCAUGGCGGGGGUCUUUGGACCUUGGCCUCCAGGCAGACUGCUCAGAGAAGGGAAGAGGACAGACUACAAGGCAGAGCCUCUGAGCAGACGCAAGAAAGGCCCUGGGAGACUGGAGCCAUGCCUAACACCAGCCCCUGCCCACAUUCCCCGUCGGAUGGGGCUUGUGCUGGGGUCUGCCUGGAUCGCCUGCUCAUCCACGAGGCAGGGAAGAAGCAGCACGCGGCUCCUCUCCCACUCAGGACGUGGGCUGUACACUGCACUUCUUUGGGCUUCAGCUUCUGCAUCGGUAAAGCACACCGAGGGACAUUCAUACUUCACCAGAUUCUUGAGUGAUUUAAAUAACCCCCUACAAACAAGCGCUUAGAACAGAGCCUGCAAAUACCAAACCCUCACUAUUUAUCUGUUGUUUUCACCAUUUAAUAAACUAAUCCCCGAC